CAGCUCCAGAAAUUCAACUAGAAAUUGGAAAGCUUUGGGGAAUAUACAGGAUUUGCAGCUGCUAGAAUUUUUGAACUGCAAAGCAGGGAAGUCUAGAUUAUAUUAUUUCACAGUCAGGUUGGUGAUAGAAAUAAUUGGACUCAAAGUUGAUAUUGUUUUUCACCUUAUUUUCUCUUCUUGCUGUUGCUACUAUUUGGACACAAUAUUACAUGUAAAUACCCAUACGAUCAAAAAGAAUUUCAAGAUGGCCCAUCCACAUACUUCAAGCUGUAGACAACUGGCUCCUCUCUGCCCAUGUGAAGAAAAGAGUAUUGUUCUUCUGCUAUGUUCAUUUCUUGCUAUCAGACAUCCAUUUAAAAUUGUUAGAGAGGUCAGCAUAAUCGAAGGAAACUCUUCAAAAGCAGGACAUCAAUCACGGAACGUGUGCAUGAAGAAAUGACCUUCAUGUCUGUUUCUUGUUCUAAAUAAUUUCUUCUUGUACAAAUUCUGCAAGGAUCCCGGGUGCGGAACCACACCACCUGUCUGUCAGUGGCCAUGCUGUGGAGGCAGCUCAUGAAAAAGAACUAGAAGGACUUACAACUAGAAGAUAAGACUACGUACUGGGGCUUUGGGAAAAAAAUAAUCAUCUCUGCUGUCUGUGUCACUAAUCCAACCAUGUAAUUGUUUUCACAUUUUGGUUCUGGCUACCAGGUAGGAUUUCCAGAAGAAAAUACAGGAAUUUCAGAUACACAACAAGCACUUUUUUCUGUGUAAAUAUGCCUGAAAUGUUGCACAGCAUACACUUAUUCUGAAUAAAUAUUCAUUUUUUAUUUGAAAAUCUAAUUUAACUGGGCAUCUUUAUCCUGUGAAUUUAUUUGCAAGAUAUAGCAACCUAUUAGCAAGGAACAUGGAAUAGGCUGAAUAAUUCUUUAAAAAGUAGGAAAUACUGAGAAUCAGUAGGCCUAGAUUCUAACUUCAGUUUUGCAAAUAAUCCUGUAAGUCAUUUGGCUUGGCUUUGCUGCCUUUACAUGCACAGUGAAUGAGAAAGAUAAUGUCUGACCUCACUUUUUUCACAGGAACGUUGUUAGAAUGAAUGAGGCGAUGUGCAUAUAAACACAGAGCAUCUUGGAAGAUAAACACUCUAUAAAACUGUGGUAUCAUCAUUAUUAUUAUUGUUAUAUUAUAGAGAGAAUUUCUGGAAAGUCAGCUGGCUGGAUAUAUUAUAGUAAUCUUCUACAAAAGAGCAAAUAAAAAC
Molecule: long non-coding RNA, 1234 nt
Filed under: Equus caballus (horse)
Lineage: Eukaryota; Metazoa; Chordata; Mammalia; Perissodactyla; Equidae
Description: lncRNA (ENSECAG00000036914.2)
Source: RNAcentral